RNAcentral lists this ribosomal RNA (487 nucleotides) under uncultured bacterium. RNAcentral's name for it is "partial 16S ribosomal RNA". It matches the Rfam family "Bacterial small subunit ribosomal RNA", at positions 29 to 507 of the family's 1533-position model. The record is from RNAcentral.
AUUGAACGCUGGCGACAUGCCUUACACAUGCAAGUCGAACGGCAGCACGGGUGCUUGCACCUGGUGGCGAGUGGCGAACGGGUGAGUAAUACAUCGGAACAUGUCCUGUAGUGGGGGAUAGCCCGGCGAAAGCCGGAUUAAUACCGCAUACGAUCUACGGAUGAAAGCGGGGGACCUUCGGGCCUCGCGCUAUAGGGUUGGCCGAUGGCUGAUUAGCUAGUUGGUGGGGUAAAGGCCUACCAAGGCGACGAUCAGUAGCUGGGCUGAGGGGACGACCAGCCACCCGGGGGGGGGAGCACGGACCAGUGGACAACGGGGAGCGCCGGGGGGGAAAUUGUGGAAAGGGGGGGGAAGCUUGACCAAGGAGUGCCGGGUGGAUGAAGAAGCCUUCGGGGUGGGAGACCAUUUUUGCCGGGAAAAAAAUCUUUGCCCCAAUACGGGGCUGGGAAUGAGGGUACCGGAAAAAGAAGCACGGGCAAACUACGUG